Molecule: unclassified non-coding RNA, 3632 nt
Filed under: Leishmania donovani
Lineage: Eukaryota; Euglenozoa; Kinetoplastea; Trypanosomatida; Trypanosomatidae
Description: gene:unknown
Source: RNAcentral
CAAAGGUUUGCCGCGUCAGCAACGUACUGCCUGUGCGUUUUUUCUCCGAGUAGUGCCCUCUUCAGUUCACUUUUUUUUUAAGUGACCUCACCCUCGUAUUCACUUCUGUUUUUUCUUCUCUGUCGCCCUGUUGUUGUCAGGAGCGCUGUCGUUUGUGUCUUUGCUGCGGAUUUCGUGUUUGGUUCCCCCUCUCACUGCCUCUCACCCCUCCCUUUGGGCGUGCGUGUGUGUGUGCCGGUGUGAUUUUUGUGGAGACUCAGCAGGGCGCCUCAUCUUUACUUCUCACUUCGGUCUUUCGUUCGGUGUACCACCGAAAAAUCUUUCUCCCACGCCGUGCGGUGCGAAGGAGGAACCACCACCACAACCAAACGGAAACGGCGUCUCGAUUUUCACCCGCAGACCCGCUGCUGUGGACACGAAGAACAACCUGCGAUCCAGUUUCUGCAGGGAUAGCACAGAAAGAUAAAGAUGCUCCCGGCAACGGACUCGAUUCGGAUGGGAGUGAUCCAGGCGGACGCGGGGGCGCCGACAGCCGCACAGCAAACAGACUGGAGCUUUUCUGCUCAGUUGGAUGAAGCUGGCCGCCAUGUAAAUAGAGUCGCAUCCUUCGAUGAUCACGGCACGUCUGCCGUGUCUCUCAAUGACGCGAGUGCCUCGGCUUUUGUGCAGCGUGCACGCGGCGUGGGCGUGGCGGCCCCCUCGGCCCCAGAUCCGCAGCAGCCGGAAGAGGUGCAGGAACUACCCAUUGAAGAGGUGGUCAACAGUACCGUGAUUCACCUGGACAAGCCGAUCGAGCACAUGCCCUUGAUUUCUCCGCCGGAGUUGAAGCUGGUUGGGCGAUGCGUCACCUUCAAGGGCGACACCACUAUUAACGGUGAGACCCGCUCUUUCUUUUACGAGGGCCUGAUUGGUACGAUAAAUAAGGAAACCGUCAUGCUGAUCCACGUGCACCGGUACACCGAGGAGGACUUCCAACUUCACAAAUUAGAGCGUCGCCACGCUUUUCGUGCCGAUGAAAACUUGAAGUCUUCACAACAAGGCGUCGCCGUCGCGCCGUCGAACUGUGCCGUGGAGGGCAUUUCCAGUGGCGGCCACGGCGGCACGGCACGCGAGGAAAUCGAGGCAAACUACAGCAACGACAACCUCAACUGCGUGCGCAACCCUGUCGUUGCCGAGAGUAUCCAGAAGCCAAAGGACGACGACGACAACUUCGACUUCGACUUCGACCACCAUAGCAUCAGCGUUACGGAGCACCAGGAGAUGCCGGCGCUGCUGAACGCGCUCGGAGAGACACACGCAGAGGAGGCGACGCGGGUGCGCAACCGCAUGCAGCAGCAGAAGGGCACGAUGGGGCCGAUACCGUAUGUCACCUUUUCUCGAUCGCACAUUCACCGCGUUGAGUUUGGAGUCGAUCCGCAAAGCAGCUUCUACUCUAUUUUCCGUGACCCAACGAAGGAGUAUUUCGACAUGCAGUGCCUGCGCAUGUUCGUGCGGCGAUAUAUUAUUCACACCUCUCAAGGCAACAACCCGCGCUGUGUUCCGCUGCGCGCCUUCAUCACGUCUCGCUGCAACUGUCCAGACCUUGACAACGAUCUGCUCGAGCGCACCACCCGCGAGGAGCUUGCGCACCUCAUCAAGAUCGACCGAGACGUCAAGCGCGUAAAGAAGAAGAAGGAGCAGAACCGCCGCAACGCGCUGCGCGCUUACAGGGCACCGCAAGGGCUCUUCCGUCUGACCGGCAUCCUCUUUCUUACGCAUCUGCCGCAGCAAACCCUGAGCAUUGCUGUGAUGGAGAUGAUCGUGACGCUGGUGCUGCUCAUUUACAUGCUCACGACGAUCUUGACUGCCGAGCCCAACAUAGUUGGCAUUUACUUUGCCAAGGUUUACCCGUACAUCUUUUGCACGGUUAUUGUCUCUGUCCUCGCCACCGCCUGCACUUCGCUUCACGCGAUUCGUAUGUCACUUCCGAUUCGUGACGGCAUUUUCGUGGCGUCGAUGCGCGCCUUCUUCACACUGAGUGCCACUGCCUGCUCCACAAUGGCGAUGAUUAUCAUUGGUGGGCAUGCGAGUUAUGAGCGACUCCUCAGUUUCGUGGAGAGCGAUGUCAUGGCGCCUCGAUUGUGCGGCUUCUACAGUGCUCAGCGGUGCAGCGGCAUCACCAUCCCGUGCACCAGCAUUUACGCGGAUAAGAGGCUCUGCAAUUGCUUUCACAUGCAGUACGACAGCUACCCUUGCCAGUCCAUCAUGAUCGCCUAUGUUCAGCGAGGCCUGAUUCCGAUGGUGUGUCUCGCCUUCAUAUUGUUUGCCACCUUUUUCUUUGAUGGCUACCUGCAUCUGCGUCUCUUUCAUAUUGCCCAUCUUCUUGAAGGCAGAUUAUAGUGCACCUUUUCUUUGAAUCCGAUCACCGCUGGCUCAUAGGGUUGCUCCCCGCCCCCACACACCCUCUCCCUCUUCUCCGACUCUCUUUUCCAUCACCAUCCUCCGGAGUUGUUCACACUUGUUCUUAAGUGUGUAUUCCGCUGAUGAGUGUAUUGGUACCUUUUUCUUUUUUCGGUUAUCUUUCUGUUGUGGUGCUGCCACGGAGAAUGGAGGCAUUUAUUUUGUUUCGCGUGUGCGUGUGUGUGCCUGUCUUUCUCACCUGCCCACGCACCUUUGCCUCUUGUCUGCGCGAAGUGGGUGCCCAUUUCGUUGUUGUUUUUUGUUGUUCUGCUGACCUCCUUUUCUUUUGCUUUUCAUGGAAGGGCGCCCCGCUCCUCCUCUUUUUUUUUCUUCUCGUCGUUGUCGCCGUCGCUCUUUUGCCCUUCGUCUCCAGGCGCACCCUCUUGUUGCUCCUCUUCUCAACAUUCGUUGGUCAACGAUUUCUGGGGUUCUGUGUCGGUGUGAUGGCGAACGGUGCGUUUACGCGCUGCGAGGGGUGGGUCUGAUUCCUCCCUUUGUUUUACGAGUGGAGAGGCGGUGGUAAAGAGAAGCAGAGGGAACGCGCGCUGAUGAGACGGAAAUCGUACAAGCAUUCGGGUAGCAAAAGCAGGCAGAUACACACACGCACACAGAGAUACAGACACACAGGCCACCAUAUUAUUCGGCCCUCGAUACGAGGGCUCAUCGGACCCAGAGGUGGAUAACGGCAGGGCUUGUCGUCGUGUUGAGCACGCCAGAGUAUCUCACCGCCUUCAUCAACCAAAACGAAGAAAGCGAGAACUCAUUAAUCCAUUCGUUGUGUGAUGUGUAUUUUUGUCUGUGAGAAAGUGUUUCUUCGGAUGCGCUAGCACGGCCUUACCUCGUCCUUCGCGUGAAGGCAAAGCAGUUCCCGAAAAAAGGCGAAACUUUUCCGAGGAGACGCAAGGGCCCACCUCCUCUGUGUUGCUUCGUGUCUCCCUCCAACGCGCACGUAAGGCACAUAUAAGAGAUGGGGCCAGUUCUGCCCUUUUGUCUUCUUCAGUCUCUACAGCAGAGAAAGAAGAAAGAGAGGUACUGUGGAAAGGAUGUAGACGCGUAUGCGUGGGUACGGGUGGGUGGGUGGUUGUAUGUGUGAGGGCAGAAACGAGGCGCCGCGUGACACAGCAGAAGUCUCUUUUUUUUUAUCAUGUUCUCUCUUCCUCUCUGUACUGCACGCUCUAUGACAAACAACGCAG